RNAcentral lists this long non-coding RNA (710 nucleotides) under Homo sapiens (human). RNAcentral's name for it is "HSALNT0117422". Lineage: Eukaryota; Metazoa; Chordata; Mammalia; Primates; Hominidae. The record is from RNAcentral.
GGUUGGGGGAGGAGUGGGGAGGAGGAGGAGGGAAACAGGAGACCCCAGGCUUUGGCUAUGACGGGGUCAGCCUUUCUACACCAUUCCGGGAUGCUGGUGUCCACCACUGCUGCCUGGGCACGGGGAACAGAGAAUCUGCCUGGUGGGAGCAGACAAGAGGUUCGAGGACCAGAGCUCAUCCUCUUCGACCAAACCAAUGCACAACUCCUACGUACUGAUGGUGGUCUUACGUUUCCCUAAGUUUCUGCCGACUAAACUGUGCACACGUUCUCAGGACCUCCUGAAGCUGCGUCACAGGCGCUGAUCAAAGAACACAACCAAGGUGAGUGUCAAUCAUUUCAAGAAAUCUAUUUGCAAGGUUAAGGACACACCUGAGAAAAGAACAGAGAACCACAGGAAAAACUGUGGUCCGUGCUUUUCCCAAAGAUUGUCUGGGGGCCUCAGUAAGUAAAGGGGAAAAGUGCGGGUAUUGGGGAAAGGGGAAGAAGUGGAAAAAAUGGGUGUGGGUAAAUCAGAGGCAAAUGGUUGCAUUCUUCUGUCUUUGGUCAGUGUUCACUGAAUACACAUUUUACAUGCGAUGGAGGUAGAGGCAGGGAUGUAGCUUUUUUAUCUUUGUGUAAUAGCUAUCUUAUUUAGGAACCAGAUGGGAAGCAGGUUUGCAUAAGCCAGUUCCCAGCUUGGCUUUUCCCUUUGGCUUAGUGAGUCUGGGG